RNAcentral lists this signal recognition particle RNA (273 nucleotides) under Christensenellaceae bacterium. Its description in RNAcentral is "signal recognition particle sRNA large type". It matches the Rfam family "Bacterial large signal recognition particle RNA". Rfam says of the family: The signal recognition particle (SRP) is a universally conserved ribonucleoprotein involved in the co-translational targeting of proteins to membranes. The record is from RNAcentral. Lineage: Bacteria; Bacillati; Bacillota; Clostridia; Christensenellales; Christensenellaceae.
GCGCGCUAAAAGCGAAAAAAGCUUCCGAUUCGCCUUGCAUCCUCGCGGUGCAAUCCUGUAUAAUGGCAGGGCAAUCAGCCGCGCCCAUGUUUGCAGGGGCGCUUUGUUGCGGGCGAUGAGGGGCGGGCCCCGUGCAAGGCCCCGCCGUGAACCGUGUCAGGCCCGGAAGGGAGCAGCACUAAGCGGCCUUCGGGCCUGUGCCGCGGGCAGACCUGCCCGGAACCCGUACAUAGAGCGUCCCUGCAAGCAGGGGGAAAUCGUUUGCAUGCGCGC